This 27-nucleotide small RNA is filed under the name Bombyx mori (domestic silkworm). Its description in RNAcentral is "ovarian small RNA-17852". Lineage: Eukaryota; Metazoa; Arthropoda; Insecta; Lepidoptera; Bombycidae. The record is from RNAcentral.
GUGAUAAUCAAAGCCACUGUUAGACAC